UCAAAGUUUCAAAGAACGACGGAAUAUAACAAGUUAAUAUUUACCCAUUAUUUACCUCUGUCAAAAAGAAGAAAUCUUAAUUUAUGUUUUUGUUUUGUCACAAUUUCUGCUCAACAUCCUAUAAAAUCUUUUAAUUCUCGGCAAUCCUUAACGCUUCAUGAUUUUCUACUGGGAUUUAUUAAAUUAGCUGAGUUGCCUUUAAUUUACGGUUGACAUAAAGUCAUGCCGAUUAAUCAAACAGCAAGAGACAAGGGGCGUUAUACGUUGAGAUUAGGGGGAAGAUGUCUCGAUUGCGAGCCUCCAAAUAAAAACGUUUGCGGUUUUCUUUUGCUAUCCGCGAGUAUUACUUUUCUUAAUAUGUUGUCACUGGUUAUCUAACUUUUGUUAUGAGCAGUUAAACAGUUUUAAAUAUCUAAUUAUGAACACUCUGAACAGUUUAAUUAAUUAGUUAGAAUAUGUUAAUUCGCGGUAUCACAUUUGGGUAAAAAAUGUACAUGUACUGCCAAAAUAUAAUUUUCCUGCCAAGCGACUGCCAAUGACUGCGAAGAAGACUGCCAAUGUCUGCCAUAUAAUGUAUUUAUUUAUCGUAUGGCUCACAUACAUGGAAGAAAACCAGAUUCUUAAACAUAGAUAUAAAACUACAAUGUAAAUGAAAACAUUACAAUGUAAAUAUAAAAAACAAGUAUUUGAUAAAAAGUCAACACAAAAAACGUAUUUACGAACACUAUAUAUUAACAUCUAGAUGCCCUAUCCAUUCCAAAGCUGCUGGAGAAGCCUCCAGAAAGUCCUUCCAGUCUUCACCAUAAGCGGGUAGGUUGCACUCUGUAGUUAUGUGAUGGAUGGUUUGGUGAGGGGAUCCGCAAUCACAUUCUAGGGAAGGUAUUUUACCCUACUUAUAAACGGAAUCCGCACAUCUUCCAUUCUAUUUAAAGUUGGCCAUGUUUUCCGGUUUAGAUCGGUACCCGGUAUCUGGCAAUAGUUAUUUUCGAACCAGAAGUAUAGGUGCGCAUCGGCCAUUUCUCUCCAUAACUGAAGCCACUGUUUUCGAGAAUUGUAGUUACUGCUUUUUAAUUGUUCAGCUGUUCGCAAAGGUGGAUUUCUCGACUUCAAUCUAUUGACCUCUAAAGCAGGAAGUGUUUCAUGAACAAGGAGUGUUGGGGCAGCUAUUAUUUUAUCAAAUUCUCUAAGAAGACCUAAUUAGUUAGAAGAACUAACUACGUUUCUGCGUAGAUUUGGAGGUAGAAUGUUACUCAGAGCUGGAGGUCAGUAACUGUGGAUUUGAUUGUCCCUGUAAUCAGCCGCAUGGUGUUGUUCAGCUGUCUGUCUACGAGAUUUGUGUGGUGGCGGUUCAACAAUACGGGUGCACAAUAGUCUGCCACACUGAAUACCUGACCAAGGGCGGAGAUCCGAAGUGUUGUUAUUUUGCACCCCAAGAGGUACCACAAAGUUUUUGUAUAAUGUUGUUUCGUGUUCUGAUUUUACCAGCAACAUUUUCUAGGUGUUUUCGAAAUGAGAGUGACCGUACACUCUCAGAGUAAUCCCCAGAUAUUUUGGUUAUUUGUUGUUACGCAGAAUGGUGUUACCAAACACAAAAAAAAUUCAGUAUUCGCCAGCUUGUUAUUAAGAUGGAAGGUAGCCACUUCUGUUUUAUUUGCACUGGGUUGAGCUCUCCAUUUUAUAAAAUAGGCAUUCGAUGAUGCUAGAUCCUUUGUCAGCGUUUUUUCGGUUUGGUAUAACGAAUCAUGUUCAGUUGCUAUGGCUAUAUCGUCUGCGUAACAAAACUUUCUAGAUUGCGUAUCUGGUAGGUCAGAGAUGUAUAAGUUGAAUAAGAGAGGGGGAGACGGAGUCUUGGGGUAAGCCGCUAUUAAGUUUUUAUGUUUACUUGUGCUCUCUCCUAGAAAUACUUGAAUAUAUCGGUUACUUAGCAUGUUGUUGAUAACUCGAGAUAGUUUGACAAGGAAGUGCUUUAAGUAAUUUAUAAACCAUACCAUCUCUCCAGACUGUGUCGUAAGCGGCUGUUAAAUCGACAAAAGCUAUGGAGGUUUUAAGCUUAAGUUGGAAAUUUCCUACAAUGUGAGAUGUAAGUGAUUAGGACUAGGACUUGGUUACAGCAACUGCGUUUAGGAAUGAAACCUGCCUGUUCAACUGGAAUGUGGUUUAAGAUACUGUUCUUUAUUCUAUUGUUCUAGGAGCUUAUAGGUACAACCACGAGGAUGUCACUUGUAUAGGAAAACAGGCAACAGUCAAUUUAAACGUGCCAGGACAAACAACAAAGAAAGCAACAUCUGCCAGGCAUAGGCUGUCUUUGAAACUCACGUUGCUGAACUUCAUAAUAUCGCGGCCAUUUUGCCUUGGAAACUGGCAAAGUGAACAAAUCAGUUAGGUUAGGCGUUUUUAUAGUUAUAAAUUGCUAUUUGGAUGUUUUAAUGCUGUUAUUCAAUACAUGGUAAGUUUAAAAUUUCAAAUAAAUACUUUGUUCAUAAAUACAAGGCGGUUGUAAACGUAUUUUUGUGUCUUAAUAGAAUUCAACUUUUGCAAAUAACCGCGGGAAGAAGAACCUAUCUUGGUGCAGCAUCGGUAUACGGUAUUGGGAAACUAUUAUUGGGUAUUUUUUUCCGAUAGUAAUUUCAUUUUGACACCUUCAAGAAAAAAAUCAGAAUCAAGAGAGAAAAUCGGGAGGGACCGGAGAAGAGUUAAUGCAGUACACUGAAGUACCUAUUUGCCAGUAUUUGGUUUUCAAGAGAGAAAUAAGAAUUCAAGAGAGAAAAUCAGGAAGGGCUGGAGAAGUAGGUACACUGAAGUAUUUGCCAGUAUUUGGCGGAAAUAAAAAAUUAACAGCAUGUUUUAUUCGUAUAGUAGGACUAUUACAUAAAUCUAGCACAAUACUGGAAUAAUGGACGCACGUUUUGCUUAACAUGUUAGCAUCAUUAAUGCUGAUGAUGGAUGACACAUUUUGAGCAGAACGUGCGUCCAGAAUUUAAGUCCUUUUAUGUAUUAUGAAUGGAUUGUUCUAAUUUACUUUUAUAACACGCUAAUACUUUUAAGGUGAAAUUAUACAUUUAAAGUUGUCAGAAUGUUUAGUGAAUUUUGUGUGUUAAAAUAUUUUAACUUUUUAC
This 3116-nucleotide long non-coding RNA is filed under the name Sitophilus oryzae (rice weevil). RNAcentral's name for it is "uncharacterized LOC115891332". The record is from RNAcentral. Lineage: Eukaryota; Metazoa; Arthropoda; Insecta; Coleoptera; Curculionidae.